AGCCCCGUGGUGCUCCACGCAAGAAUGCAAAUCUUGAGAAGAACCCUAAAAGUGUUCCGGGGCUU
Molecule: transfer RNA, 65 nt
Filed under: Plestiodon capito
Lineage: Eukaryota; Metazoa; Chordata; Lepidosauria; Squamata; Scincidae
Description: tRNA-Cys
Source: RNAcentral